GACAGAGGGUGCAACCGUUGCUCGGAAUCACUGGGCGUAAAGGGCGCGUAGGCGGGGAUGUAAGUCGGGCGUGAAAUCCCCAGGCUCAACCUGGGAACUGCACUCGAAACUGCGUUUCUUGAGUAUCGGAGAGGAAAGCGGAAUUCCUGGUGUAGAGGUGAAAUUCGUAGAUAUCAGGAGGAACACCAGUGGCGAAGGCGGCUUUCCGGACGGUAACUGACGCUGAGGCGCGAAAGCGUGGGGAGCAAACAGG
RNAcentral lists this ribosomal RNA (253 nucleotides) under uncultured bacterium. Its description in RNAcentral is "partial 16S ribosomal RNA". It matches the Rfam family "Bacterial small subunit ribosomal RNA", at positions 524 to 776 of the family's 1533-position model. The record is from RNAcentral.